RNAcentral lists this ribosomal RNA (301 nucleotides) under uncultured bacterium. RNAcentral describes it as "partial 16S ribosomal RNA". It matches the Rfam family "Bacterial small subunit ribosomal RNA", at positions 509 to 807 of the family's 1533-position model. The record is from RNAcentral.
CAGUCGCCGCGGUAAUACGAAGGGGGCUAGCGUUGCUCGGAAUCACUGGGCGUAAAGCGUGCGUAGGCGGUUCGUUAAGUCUGUUGUGAAAGCCCCGGGCUCAACCUGGGAAUGGCAAUGGAUACUGGCGAGCUAGAGUGUGUCAGAGGAUGGUGGAAUUCCCGGUGUAGCGGUGAAAUGCGUAGAGAUCGGGAGGAACAUCAGUGGCGAAGGCGGCCAUCUGGGACAACACUGACGCUGAGGCACGAAAGCGUGGGGAGCAAACAGGAUUAGAUACCCGGGUAGUCCCUGUCUCUUAUAC